Molecule: ribosomal RNA, 468 nt
Filed under: uncultured bacterium
Lineage: Bacteria
Description: partial 16S ribosomal RNA
Rfam family: Bacterial small subunit ribosomal RNA
Source: RNAcentral
GACGAACGCUGGCGGCGUGCUUAACACAUGCAAGUCGAACGGAAAGGCCCUGCUUUUGUGGGGUGCUCGAGUGGCGAACGGGUGAGUAACACGUGAGUAACCUGCCCUUGACUUUGGGAUAACUUCAGGAAACUGGGGCUAAUACCGGAUAGGAGCUCCUGCUGCACGGGGGGGGUUGGAAAGUUUCGGCGGUUGGGGCUGGACUCGCGGGUUAUCAGCUUGUUGGUGGGGUAGGGGCUUACCAAGGUUUUGACGGGUAGCCGGCCUGAGAGGGUGACCGGGCACAAUGGGACUGAGAUACGGACCAGACUGCUACGGGCGGCAGCAGUGGGGAAUAUUGCACAAUGGGCGGAAGCCUGAUGCAGCAACGCCGCGUGCGGGAUGACGGCCUUCGGGUUGUAAACCGCUUUCGCCUGUGACGAAGCGUGAGUGACGGUAAUGGGUAAAGAAGCACCGGCUAACUACGUG